This 668-nucleotide long non-coding RNA is filed under the name Daphnia pulex (common water flea). RNAcentral's name for it is "uncharacterized LOC124209201, transcript variant X1". The record is from RNAcentral. Lineage: Eukaryota; Metazoa; Arthropoda; Branchiopoda; Diplostraca; Daphniidae.
AUAAUUUCAGCCGAAGUUUUCAUGUACCUGGCCAACUAGGUGCUCAUGACAUUAGAAAUGAAAUGGUCUAAUCUAAUAAUGCAAGCUCACAACCUGUCUUCUGAAGCAAAAUAAUUUUUGUUGCAAGUUGUAGAUCUUCAAGAUAUUUAUGCCUUCGCCAGAUCCAAUUCUUUGCUGCUAUCUAUUUUGGGUACAACAGCGAGAAAAUGCAGCUACUCAAGAUUAUGUGGUGUUCUUAGUUCUAAUUUAGAACAAUGUAAGAUUGAUUGAUUUGAGGUUAAUCCCUCUCCAAUGUUCUAGUUGCUUGGAAACCGACGAGAGAUUGCUGGAAUUGAAGACUGAUAAUUUGGUCGGUCCAGAUACUAUCUCUGGGGGCCGUAGACAAUUCCAACAGCAUGUGCGAGUUUUAACAAAGCAAUGCGUAGGCCAUGCGCUACCCAAUGAGACAAAAAGCGAUGUUUAAUUUGUGUGGAAUUAGAAAUUUUUUUUAAAAUUAGUUCUUGAAUAAGUAAAAUUCUUAACUGACAAAGAUUUCGGCCAAAAUGAAUCAUCGCUUUUUGUGUCAUUAGGUAAAGAGUUGCUUGCUCAUACUCGUGUAAAAAAAGACAAGAUUAACUUAAUCCACAAUUCAUAAAUUAUUUCAGUGCUUUUAAAUAAAUAAAGGGAUU